This 992-nucleotide long non-coding RNA is filed under the name Helianthus annuus (common sunflower). The record is from RNAcentral. Lineage: Eukaryota; Viridiplantae; Streptophyta; Magnoliopsida; Asterales; Asteraceae.
AUGGUCCUCAGUUUCUUCUUUUUGUUGAUCUUCGUUCUUCCACUUCCUUAUGUAUCCUAAUUUCUAAGCUUUUCUAAAGCACACAAACAGAUCUAGGGCGUGAAUUGGUUUGGCGAUGUCUCCACAACCGCUGGUGGUGCCUAUGGUGGUGGAUAACACAUGUUUAAAUCAGAAACUAAAUCAAGUUAUCUAGGGUUUCUUUCUUCUAUGUACUUGUAACCACCGCAAAAGGUUCUAAUAUCUUAUCAGAACCGGCGAACAAAAGGCGUUUUUGAAGCAACCGAAAGUCUUCAUCUGUUCGAAGAAGAGAGGCAAAGGAAAAAGGUCUGGAAAGGGGGGAAAUAGUUUUGGAAGAGUAUUGGUAUUGGAUUUAACCUGAGAGAGGCUAUUAAAGUUUCAACGACUCAGACCAAAGCAACGUACACCUGCUGCUACCAGUGAUGUUCCUUCCACCGUUUUCUCUGCCCCAUCUCGUAGAACUCUAAGGGGAAAGCUUCUCUUCAACCCAAAAGAACUCAAAUCACGAGGAGAUUAAUGCUAUUGUGUGUGUGGCGAGGAUUAAGACUGCGGAACAUUUGUUUUUGACGUGUGGUUUCGCUCAAACGGUAUGGCAUUUAGUAUCACAAUGGUGCAAGCUCCCUCCAAUUUAUGCGUUCCAGGUAAGAGAUCUUCUUGAUUUGCAUCUGUACAUAGACGGGUCGGCGAAGUCUAAAAAGGUUAUUCAAGCUAUUUGCCACAUGGUUUUCUGGUGCAUUUGGAGGUGUCAAAAUGAAGUGGUUUUAAAUCAAGGGCAAACCUCGAUGCAGAAGAUUAUGGGAGAUGUAAAGGGGCUGUCAUUUUUGUGGAUUAAAGCGCAUCCCAAACAGUUGAACUAUUAAACUUUCUUUGCUAUCAUGUUAACUAACCUCCUUUGACUGUGGAUGAUGGUAAUCAUCUUUAUUUUAUGUUUAGACUUUUGACAUUAGUUUUUUAUGAAUGGCUAAAGGUUAUCA